UACAGAGGGGGCAAGCGUUGUUCGGAAUUACUGGGCGUAAAGGGCGCGUAGGCGGCCUUCUAAGUCGAACGUGAAAUCCCCGGGCUCAACCCGGGAACUGCGUCCGAGACUGAAAGGCUUGAAUCCGGGAGAGGGAUGUGGAAUUCCAGGUGUAGCGGUGAAAUGUGUAGAUAUCUGGAGGAACAUCGGUGGCGAAGGCGGCAUCCUGGACCGGUAUUGACGCUGAGGCGCGAAAGCCAGGGGAGCAAACGGG
This 253-nucleotide ribosomal RNA is filed under the name uncultured bacterium. RNAcentral's name for it is "partial 16S ribosomal RNA". It matches the Rfam family "Bacterial small subunit ribosomal RNA", at positions 524 to 776 of the family's 1533-position model. The record is from RNAcentral.